RNAcentral lists this ribosomal RNA (73 nucleotides) under Paenibacillus polymyxa. RNAcentral's name for it is "partial 16S ribosomal RNA". It matches the Rfam family "Bacterial small subunit ribosomal RNA", at positions 1 to 72 of the family's 1533-position model. Lineage: Bacteria; Bacillati; Bacillota; Bacilli; Caryophanales; Paenibacillaceae. The record is from RNAcentral.
UUUAAUGGAGAGUUUGAUCCUGGCUCAGGACGAACGCUGGCGGCGUGCCUAAUACAUGCAAGUCGAGCGGGGU